GAUGAAGAACGCAGCGAAAUGCGAUAAGUAAUGUGAAUUGCAGAAUUCAGUGAAUCAUCGAAUCUUUGAACGCAUCUUGCGCUCCUUGGUAUUCUGAGGAGCAUGCCUGUUUGAGUGUCAUUAAAUUCUCAACUACACUGACUUUGAAUUGGUGUGGCUUGGAUUUGGGGGGAAAAUUGUUGUGGGCUUUUUGUAUAGUCUGCUCCCCUGAAAUUGAUUAGCGGUACCUUUGUGGAACUGUCUACAGGUGUGAUAAUUAUCUACAUCUUAGACAUCUGCUGGAAUGCUGCUUUCUAAACCUUACUUGUAUUGACAAUCUUGACCUCAAAUCAGGUAGGACUACCCGCUGAACUUAAGCAUAUCAAUAAGCGGGGA
This 375-nucleotide unclassified non-coding RNA is filed under the name soil metagenome. RNAcentral's name for it is "partial contains 5.8S ribosomal RNA, internal transcribed spacer 2, and large subunit ribosomal RNA". The stretch from base 1 to 120 matches the Rfam family "5.8S ribosomal RNA", at positions 35 to 154 of the family's 154-position model. The record is from RNAcentral.